AAGUCGUAACAAGGUCUCCGUUGGUGAACCAGCGGAGGGAUCAUUACAGAGUCGUAAAACACUCCCAAACCCAUGUGAACUUACCAUUGUUGCCUCGGCGGACCUACCCUGUAGCUUGCUACCCUGUAGCCCGCCGGUGGACCAUUAAACUCUUGUUAUUCUAUGGAUAUCUGAGCGUCUUAUUUAAUAAGUUAAAACUUUCAACAACGGAUCUCUUGGUUCUG
This 224-nucleotide unclassified non-coding RNA is filed under the name air metagenome. RNAcentral's name for it is "partial contains small subunit ribosomal RNA, internal transcribed spacer 1, and 5.8S ribosomal RNA". The stretch from base 1 to 46 matches the Rfam family "Eukaryotic small subunit ribosomal RNA", at positions 1786 to 1831 of the family's 1831-position model. The record is from RNAcentral.